CGGGCUGGCCGGGCGACCGCGUUCGUCUCCUCACGGAGGCGGCCGAGGAAGGUCCGGGCUCCGAAGAGCAAGGUGGUGGCCAACAGCCACCCGGGGUGACCCGCGGGACAGUGCCACAGAGAACAGACCGCCGCUCACUCCGUUCAUUCGGAGAGAGAGGUAAGGGUGAAACGGUGGUGUAAGAGACCACCAGCGUGCCGGGUGACCGGUGCGGCUAGGUAAACCCCACCUGGAGCAAGAUCAAGAAGCCGCUCCUUCUUCGGAAGGGACGGUGCGUACACGUUCGAGGGCUGCUCGCCCGAGUGUGCGGGUGGAUCGCCAGAGGUUGUCGGCAACGGCAGCCCUAGAUGGAUGGUCGCCAACCGGGGCAACGCAAGGAAUCCCGGCGAACAGAACCCGGCCUAUGAGCCAGCCCGUCCG
This 420-nucleotide RNase P RNA is filed under the name Nocardioides sp. Soil797. RNAcentral describes it as "bacterial RNase P". It matches the Rfam family "Bacterial RNase P class A". Rfam says of the family: Ribonuclease P (RNase P) is a ubiquitous endoribonuclease, found in archaea, bacteria and eukarya as well as chloroplasts and mitochondria. Its best characterised activity is the generation of mature 5'-ends of tRNAs by cleaving the 5'-leader elements of precursor-tRNAs. Cellular RNase Ps are ribonucleoproteins. The record is from RNAcentral. Lineage: Bacteria; Bacillati; Actinomycetota; Actinomycetes; Propionibacteriales; Nocardioidaceae.